GUCCACGCCCUAAACGGUGCACACUAGGUCUUAGCGGAUUCGAUCCCGCUAGGGCCCAAGCUAACGCGUUAAGUGUGCCGCCUGAGGACUACGGUCGCAAGACUAAAAACUCAAAAGGAAUUGACGGGGGCCCGCACAAGCGGUGGAGCAUGUGGCUCAAUUCGAUGCAACGCGAAGAACCUUACCAGGCCUUGACAUGCACUAGACAGACACUGAAAGGUGUCCUCCCUUCGGGGCUGGUGCACAGGUGCUGCAUGGCUGUCGU
RNAcentral lists this ribosomal RNA (265 nucleotides) under uncultured bacterium. RNAcentral describes it as "partial 16S ribosomal RNA". It matches the Rfam family "Bacterial small subunit ribosomal RNA", at positions 793 to 1055 of the family's 1533-position model. The record is from RNAcentral.